AUACGAAGGUCCCAAGCGUUAUUCGGAAUCACUGGGCGUAAAGAGUACGUAGGCGGUUUGGUAAGUCAGGUGUGAAAUCCCGGAGCUCAACUUCGGAACUGCAUCCGAUACUGCUAGACUUGAGUAAUGGAGAGGCAGGUGGAAUUCUCGGUGUAGCAGUGAAAUGCGUGGAUAUCGAGAGGAAGACCAAUGGCGAAGGCAGCCUGCUGGACAUUUACUGAUGCUGAGAUACGAAGGCUAGGGUAGCGAAAGGGAUUAGAAACCCCAGUAGUCC
This 274-nucleotide ribosomal RNA is filed under the name uncultured bacterium. RNAcentral's name for it is "partial 16S ribosomal RNA". It matches the Rfam family "Bacterial small subunit ribosomal RNA", at positions 523 to 796 of the family's 1533-position model. The record is from RNAcentral.